GAUGAACGCUAGCGGCAGGCCUAAUACAUGCAAGUCGAACGAGAUUAAGAGGCUUGCUUCUUAUGAAAGUGGCGCACGGGUGCGUAACGCGUAUGCAACCUACCUUAAUCAGGGGGAUAGCCCGAAGAAAUUCGGAUUAAGACCGCAUAAAAACACAGGAUAGCAUUAUCCAAUGUUCAAAUAUUUAUAGGAUUAAGAUGGGCAUGCGUGUCAUUAGCUAGUUGGCGGGGUAACGGCCCACCAAGGCGACGAUGACUAGGGGAUCUGAGAGGAUGACCCCCCACACUGGUACUGAGACACGGACCAGACUCCUACGGGAGGCAGCAGUAAGGAAUAUUGGUCAAUGGAGGGAACUCUGAACCAGCCAUGCCGCGUGCAGGAAGACAGCCCUCUGGGUCGUAAACUGCUUUUAUUCGGGAAUAAACCUUUAUACGUGUAGGAAGCUGAAUGUACCGAAGGAAUAAGGAUCGGCUAACUCCGUG
RNAcentral lists this ribosomal RNA (482 nucleotides) under uncultured bacterium. RNAcentral's name for it is "partial 16S ribosomal RNA". It matches the Rfam family "Bacterial small subunit ribosomal RNA", at positions 28 to 507 of the family's 1533-position model. The record is from RNAcentral.